UGCAGUCGAGCGAAUGGAUUAAGAGCUUGCUCUUAUGAAGUUAGCGGCGGACGGGUGAGUAACACGUGGGUAACCUGCCCAUAAGACUGGGAUAACUCCGUUGAAACCGGGGCUAAUACCGGAUAACAUUUUGAACCGCAUGGUUCGAAAUUGAAAGGCGGCUUCGGCUGUCACUUAUGGAUGGACCCGCGUCGCAUUAGCUAGUUGGUGAGGUAACGGCUCACCAAGGCAACGAUGCGUAGCCGACCUGAGAGGGUGAUCGGCCACACUGGGACUGAGACACGGCCCAGACUCCUACGGGAGGCAGCAGUAGGGAAUCUUCCGCAAUGGACGAAAGUCUGACGGAGCAACGCCGCGUGAGUGAUGAAGGCUUUCGGGUCGUAAAACUCUGUUGUUAGGGAAGAACAAGUGCUAGUUGAAUAAGCUGGCACCUUGACGGUACCUAACCAGAAAGCCACGGCUAACUACGUGCCAGCAGCCGCGGUAAUACGUAGGUGGCAAGCGUUAUCCGGAAUUAUUGG
RNAcentral lists this ribosomal RNA (521 nucleotides) under Bacillus cereus. RNAcentral describes it as "bacterial SSU rRNA". It matches the Rfam family "Bacterial small subunit ribosomal RNA", at positions 56 to 557 of the family's 1533-position model. Lineage: Bacteria; Bacillati; Bacillota; Bacilli; Caryophanales; Bacillaceae. The record is from RNAcentral.